GGGGUUGUAGCUUGGUGGUAGAGCGCUUGCCUCAAACGCGUGAGGCCCUGGGUUCCAUCCUCAGCACCA
RNAcentral lists this transfer RNA (69 nucleotides) under Ictidomys tridecemlineatus (thirteen-lined ground squirrel). Its description in RNAcentral is "Spermophilus tridecemlineatus (thirteen-lined ground squirrel) tRNA". It matches the Rfam family "tRNA". From Rfam's summary of the family: Transfer RNA (tRNA) molecules are approximately 80 nucleotides in length. Their secondary structure includes four short double-helical elements and three loops (D, anti-codon, and T loops). Lineage: Eukaryota; Metazoa; Chordata; Mammalia; Rodentia; Sciuridae. The record is from Rfam by way of RNAcentral. RNAcentral also lists the same sequence under 1 other name.